This 496-nucleotide ribosomal RNA is filed under the name uncultured bacterium. Its description in RNAcentral is "partial 16S ribosomal RNA". It matches the Rfam family "Bacterial small subunit ribosomal RNA", at positions 28 to 507 of the family's 1533-position model. The record is from RNAcentral.
GACGAACGCUGGCGGCGUGCCUAAUACAUGCAAGUAGAACGCUGAAGCGAGGAGCUUGCUCUUCUUGGAUGAGUUGCGAACGGGUGAGUAACGCGUAGGUAACCUGCCUUGUAGCGGGGGAUAACUAUUGGAAACGAUAGCUAAUACCGCAUAACAAUGGAUGACACAUGUCAUUUAUUUGAAGGGGCAAUAGCUCCACUACAAGAUGGACCUGCGUUGUAUUAGCUAGUAGGUGAGGUAAUGGCUCACCUAGGCGACGAUACAUAGCCGACCUGAGAGGGUGAUCGGCCACACUGGGACUGAGACACGGCCCAGACUCCUACGGGAGGCAGCAGUAGGGAAUCUUCGGCAAUGGGGGCAACCCUGACCGAGCAACGCCGCGUGAGUGAAGAAGGUUUUCGGAUCGUAAAGCUCUGUUGUAAGUCAAGAACGGGUGUGAGAGUGGAAAGUUCACACUGUGACGGUAGCUUACCAGAAAGGGACGGCUAACUACGUG